Molecule: ribosomal RNA, 512 nt
Filed under: Gobio obtusirostris
Lineage: Eukaryota; Metazoa; Chordata; Actinopteri; Cypriniformes; Gobionidae
Description: partial 16S ribosomal RNA
Rfam family: Bacterial large subunit ribosomal RNA
Source: RNAcentral
CAGCCUGCCCAGUGACUACGGGUUCAACGGCCGCGGUAUUUUGACCGUGCAAAGGUAGCGCAAUCACUUGUCUUUUAAAUAGAGACCUGUAUGAAUGGCCAAACGAGGGCUUAACUGUCUCCCCCUUCAAGUCAGUGAAAUUGAUCUAUCCGUGCAGAAGCGGGUGUAAUAAUACAAGACGAGAAGACCCUUUGGAGCUUAAGGUACAAAGUUCAGCCACGUUAAACGACUCCUCAAAAAGCAAAAACUUAGUGGAAUGUGAAGUUUUACCUUCGGUUGGGGCGACCGCGGAGGAAAACAUAGCCUCCGAGUGGAAGGGGGUAAACCCCUAAAACCAUGAGAAACAUCUCUAAGCCGCAGAACAUCUGACCAAAAAUGAUCCGGCCAACCAGCCGAUCAACGAACCAAGUUACCCUAGGGAUAACAGCGCAAUCCUCUCCCAGAGUCCAUAUCGACGAGGGGGUUUACGACCUCGAUGUUGGAUCAGGACAUCCUAAUGGUGCAGCCGCUAU